This 497-nucleotide ribosomal RNA is filed under the name uncultured bacterium. RNAcentral describes it as "bacterial SSU rRNA". It matches the Rfam family "Bacterial small subunit ribosomal RNA", at positions 30 to 518 of the family's 1533-position model. The record is from RNAcentral.
UGAACGCUAGCGACAGGCUUAACACAUGCAAGUCGAGGGGUAACAGGGUAGCAAUACCGCUGACGACCGGCGCACGGGUGAGUAACGCGUAUGCAACCUGCCUAUAACUGGGGAAUAGCUCCCUGAAAGGGGAAUUAACACCGCAUAACACUAUUGAUUCGCAUGAAUUGGUAGUUAAAUGUAGCGAUACAGGUUAUAGAUGGGCAUGCGUGACAUUAGCUAGUUGGUGAGGUAACGGCUCACCAAGGCUACGAUGUCUAGGGGUUCUGAGAGGAAGGUCCCCCACACUGGUACUGAGACACGGACCAGACUCCUACGGGAGGCAGCAGUGAGGAAUAUUGGUCAAUGGGCGCAAGCCUGAACCAGCCAUGUCGCGUGCAGGAAGACUGCCCCCUAUGGGUUGUAAACUGCUUUUAUAGUAGAAGAAACACAUCUACGAGUAGAUGUCUGCCAGUAUACUAUGAAUAAGCAUCGGCUAACUCCGUGCCAGCCGCGGC